AGAGAUGAACUGUGGCUCAGAAGGUAGAGCCUCUGCUUGGCAUGCAGUAGGUCCCGGGUUCAAUCCCCAGCAUCUCCA
RNAcentral lists this transfer RNA (78 nucleotides) under Sphaerodactylus townsendi. RNAcentral's name for it is "tRNA-Ala". It matches the Rfam family "tRNA". From Rfam's summary of the family: Transfer RNA (tRNA) molecules are approximately 80 nucleotides in length. Their secondary structure includes four short double-helical elements and three loops (D, anti-codon, and T loops). The record is from RNAcentral. Lineage: Eukaryota; Metazoa; Chordata; Lepidosauria; Squamata; Sphaerodactylidae.